This 76-nucleotide transfer RNA is filed under the name Rickettsiales bacterium. Its description in RNAcentral is "tRNA-Arg". It matches the Rfam family "tRNA". Rfam says of the family: Transfer RNA (tRNA) molecules are approximately 80 nucleotides in length. Their secondary structure includes four short double-helical elements and three loops (D, anti-codon, and T loops). Lineage: Bacteria; Pseudomonadati; Pseudomonadota; Alphaproteobacteria; Rickettsiales. The record is from RNAcentral.
GUUCUCAUAGCUCAGUGGAUAGAGCGACAGCCUCCUAAGCUGUAGGUCGAGGGUUCGAUUCCCUCUGUGAACACCA